UGCUUAAUUAUCUAGAAACAUGAAUGUAAUUUCUAAUGCUUUUGUAUUUACUUAGCAUAUAUCUUUCCACAGAAAUCUGUAUAAUAUCAGCCACAACCAAUAGCAGCCACAACCAGUGAUCACGGGCUCACGAUCCUUCUAGAGAAGAAAAGGUGGAAUUUGGGCAGUAUCACUACGGACUUCUGGGAAUUACAGGAAGAUUGCCUCACCCUGCAUGUGAGAGCAGUUAGAUACUUCAACGCUAAAAGUAGGGAAGCUGCCUUGAAGAGAAAGUGGGUCAACUCAAGGCUAAGUUGUAAGAUGACAUGA
This 309-nucleotide long non-coding RNA is filed under the name Felis catus (domestic cat). RNAcentral describes it as "lncRNA (ENSFCAG00000051032.1)". Lineage: Eukaryota; Metazoa; Chordata; Mammalia; Carnivora; Felidae. The record is from RNAcentral.